Molecule: small nuclear RNA, 250 nt
Filed under: Heterocephalus glaber (naked mole-rat)
Lineage: Eukaryota; Metazoa; Chordata; Mammalia; Rodentia; Bathyergidae
Description: 7SK RNA
Rfam family: 7SK RNA
About the family: 7SK was discovered as an abundant small nuclear RNA in the mid-70s but a possible function has only recently been suggested. Two independent studies have found that 7SK RNA binds the CDK9/cyclin T complex (known as elongation factor P-TEFb).
Source: Rfam by way of RNAcentral
GGAUGUGAGAGUGAUCUGGCUGGCUAGGCGGGUGUCCCCUUUUUCCCUCACUGCUCCAUGUGCGUCCCUCCCGAAGCUGUGCACCUGGUCAAAGAGCCUGACCAUGCUGGAUGGAGCAGCACCAUUUCCUCCCUCAAGGGUAUAUGAGUAGCUGCGCUCCCCUGCUAGAACCUCCAAACAAGCUCUCGGAUACAUCUCAUUUUUUGUUUGUACUAAGUCUUGGAAAUCCAACGUGUGUGUGUGUGUUUUU